UCAUCCCCUUUUUUGUGCUUUUUCUGUAGACUGAAAUUUCUUAAUUGCUUUUUUUUUUUGUUGUGAUUUUGAAUCCACAAUUUCUAUUGGUUCAUGAAGGAACCAACAGAUUGAUUCAAAUUGGGUCCAAAUCGGACCCUUUAUUUGUUUGUCAGCUUGAACCUCAACAGUUAGAUGUGGUUUGAGAGAAGCAAUUAUCAGAAAUGCUAGACUCCCACAUCGAUUUGUUACUAGGGUUUUGAGAAUUUGAGGUUCUAUAUAAAAAAACCCCAUCCUUCACAUUUUGGGAGAACUUUUUGAGCAUACUGAAAUAUCAAUAUACUCAGAAAUGAAAAAAAUAAUCAAAUUAACUAGGGUUUCUACUUUUGAGACCUUUACGUAUUUGAAUCUAGUAAAAUUUUAAAAGUUAUUUUAUUCUUUUUGGGUGUGGCUGAGCAAUUCGAGUGGAGAAGGAGUCUUCAAGUCCAUUCUUGACGAAGGCUGUGCAUUUGAAAGGUACACCCAGAUGAUGUAAAGUCAUUAUAGAGAAUGUUCCAGCAGAGUUGGCAAGCUCCAUUUGCUCCUGGAGUGCUGCCGAGUCCGAGUUUGUAUGUUAUGUUUUUUUCUGGAUUGAAGUUAGAGACUUUGCAGACAGAGUCGUGAGUAUAGUAUGUCGGUUGCGUAAGCGGCUUCAUCAGCCGAUAUGUCAUUCUGUAUUACGUGAUAAAUCCUAUAAAAUCACAGAUUAUGUUUGAUUUGGAAAGCAUCGAAAAAGAAUAUUUUGAAAGUUUAUUAUG
This is a long non-coding RNA of Lycium barbarum (goji berry), 776 nucleotides long. RefSeq lists it as uncharacterized. The record is from RefSeq and is a predicted model, not a curated record. NCBI's taxonomy places the organism in Eukaryota, Viridiplantae, Streptophyta, Magnoliopsida, Solanales, Solanaceae. The transcript is spliced from 2 exons.